CACAAUUUCGUUUUACAUAAGCUAAUUACGAUUUACGGUAAAUAUUAACAUUACGCAUUAUGUUUUAACAUUAUGAGACAUUUAUGCCAUCUGCUGCACUGAUUUGCUUGUUUUAAAACGGCAGUGUUUAUCUGCACUAAACAGUAUGCACAGCCAUUAGCUUAGCUGGCUAAAUAGUGUAGUUAUCCAAAACCGCCGCUGCACAAACUCAUGACAUCGAAAGGAAAACGUUGGAUUUUAAAGGCAAUAAAUAUGCCAGUCUCGUGCCAUAACCAAUGGUUCCCGCAUAAUCCUUUUCUUUAUAGGGCUUCAUCCUGCCUUCACUAAUUCUAAGACGGCGCCUGAGGUUUAGAUUUUAGUGCAUUAUUGACAUAAGACAGUAAAUGUUUUUGUCCAAAUAUUCUUUAAACGAAACUACAAGUCUUUCAUAUUAAAACGAGCAUGCUUCUCCAGCAAUACCAACACAGUUUUUUAAUUUUUAAAAAAGAAUUGGUGUUUUGUUUAGUUAUUGUUAUAAUGUUUAUAAGCAGUAAGCAAAGAAGCCCCUCCUGUUUUACAGAGCUGUUCAGUCUACAUGACCCAUAUAGUACCCCAAAAAACUUUUUAUAGAUUAAAACAUCAGGAGCUGUUUUCAAAUACCUCAGACUGCACAAAUUUAGUCAAUCUUAAAUCCAAAACACUUUUUAGCAUCUAAUGAAAAGCCUGUGUUACAGGUUUCUGUUUUAAAAGCAGAAAUUGUUUGGAAAACUGUUUUUGUUAUUCACAUUUCUUUCUGACCACAAGCCAUGGAAUCUAAUAUGAUCUUGACUUAAUCUUCUUAUAGAACCUAAACCCAGCCUUAAAUGCAGGGUGUUUAGAUGUGUUAGCCGGCACUGAGCUUGACAGUGGCCAUGCAGUUGAAACAACAGCUUUUUUAAGCAAGGAAAAGAGUUACUGUACAACAGAAAAUGAAAUUAUAGCAGAGCUGACAGCACAUCACAGCGGAUGACAUGUAUCUUUCUAUCCAAGUAACUCAACUGUGGGAGGAACUGAAGUCAAAUCGUCUCACCAAAUAUGGCACAGUAACUGCGGUCACAGCUAUUAGGGCUCGGGCUGUGAUGGCUUGGCAGAGAUUCGCAGAUCUACAGGAUAUGGCAACACAGUAGUUUUGCACUUAGACCUGGCAUCGCUGUUCUCCGUUCAGCAAUUUGUGCAUAAAUACACUGCCACUGAGUAUCGACUGUAUAUACUUAUUAACAAUGCUGCCUUACAGAGGAUGGCUAUGAAACCCAGUUUGCUGUCAAUCAUUUGGGUCAUUUCCGACUGUUCUCCUCCUGGACAUGCUGAAGAAGUCUAGUCCUAGUCGAAUUAGUAUUGCUCACAAAGGAGGUAAGAUCCACUUUCGUGACCUAUAACUUCAACAAAGCACCAUACGAUUCCUUAGUCAGCUACAGGCAGAGCAAACUUGCCAACAUGCUGUUUACUCGAGAAUUAGCACAGAGGAUUAAAGUAAUCCGCACUGAACUGGGAUGUUACGUGCUGACGCGUCACCCUCUUCUCAGUGCCCUGUUGUUUUUACCUGCUCUCUUAUUGAUGAAAACCCCCAGUCAGGGUGCUCAGAUGUCAGUGUACUGUGCUUUUGCUGAAGGGCUGGAGUCUCACAGUGGCUGCUAUUUCAGGUAAGGUGUUAAUAUUAAUAUUCAUAAGCUUUCACCAUGACUGUUAUAGGUUUGUAUUUUAAUUUGUCUAAAUAUUUCCUGAUAUGUUUAUGCUUGCACUGGAUGAUAUGAGAUCUUUUUACAGUGAUUGUAAGCUGAAGGAACCAGCUCCUGAAAGUAAAGAUGAUGCAGCUAUCAACACUCAGAUCACUUUUCCAUCUUUGUUGAUUUUUUUCUAAUGGAAAUCUUUAUUUAAUUGAAUUGAAUUGAAUUGAAUUUAUGAUUAUUGAUAAUAAGUGGUUUAAUCAACUAAAGAAGAAGAAACCAAAAUCUGAAUGGUGUUUUUGUCUGGAUCAGUACUGUAAUCCCUGUAUUCCCUGUUUUGCCCAUGACAGUAUGAAAGAUAGUUGGUCUCAUUUGACAUUUUAAAGUUUUUUUUGAAGUAGGCUUAUCUCAUUUGAUGAUUUAAAAAGGUUUCCUAAAUAAAAUUCAAAUAACAAAAAUUAAUUUUAAAAACUGCAGUUGACGCUGGUAAAAUAGGCUACUGUGAGUGUUAAGUUUCUGUGGUUUAAUGUCAAUAAAUCGAAGUCAAUAAAUACAGUUAGCAGCCAGGACUUCUUACAGACACAUACUGGAUAAGUAUAUUCUGAUCAAACCUGUCGGAUUUUACAAGUUCAGUAUGCACUGAAUCGGGUAAAACGCAUUUAAUGUUUGCAUAGUCUAUACAAGGAGAUAAACUAAUCGCGUCACAUUCUGUUUAGCGUAGGAAUGCAAUGGCCAAUCAGAGGCGUUCAGAUGAUGUCAUCGCUGAGACUCCG
Long non-coding RNA from Cyprinus carpio (common carp), 2455 nucleotides. RefSeq lists it as uncharacterized. The record is from RefSeq and is a predicted model, not a curated record. Lineage: Eukaryota; Metazoa; Chordata; Actinopteri; Cypriniformes; Cyprinidae. The transcript is spliced from 5 exons.